AGUGAACGCUGGCGGUAGGCCUAACACAUGCAAGUCGAACGGCAGCACAGUAAGAGCUUGCUCUUACGGGUGGCGAGUGGCGGACGGGUGAGGAAUACAUCGGAAUCUACUUUUUCGUGGGGGAUAACGUAGGGAAACUUACGCUAAUACCGCAUACGACCUACGGGUGAAAGCAGGGGAUCUUCGGACCUUGCGCGAUUGAAUGAGCCGAUGUCGGAUUAGCUAGUUGGCGGGGUAAAGGCCCACCAAGGCGACGAUCCGUAGCUGGUCUGAGAGGAUGAUCAGACACACUGGAACUGAGACACGGUCCAGACUCCUACGGGAGGCAGCAGUGGGGAAUAUUGGACAAUGGGCGCAAGCCUGAUCCAGCCAUACCGCGUGAGUGAAGAAGGACUUCGGGUUGUAAAGCCCUUUUGUUGGGAAAGAAAAGCAGCAGGUUAAUACCCCGCUGUUCUGACGGUACCCAAAGAAUAAGCACCGGCUAACUUCGUG
RNAcentral lists this ribosomal RNA (492 nucleotides) under uncultured bacterium. RNAcentral's name for it is "partial 16S ribosomal RNA". It matches the Rfam family "Bacterial small subunit ribosomal RNA", at positions 29 to 507 of the family's 1533-position model. The record is from RNAcentral.